UGUCGUGAUUGGAGAGUUACUGAGAGAACCAGUGUCGUGAUUGGAGAGUUACUGAGAGAACCAGUGUCGUGAUUGGAGAGUUACUGAGAGAACCAGUGACGUGAUUGGAGAGUUACUGAGAGAACCAGUCAUGAUUGUCAAUCGAUGUUAAACACAGUCCUUGAACCAUGAAUACACAGUGUCUUAUUGGCCCAUGUGGGCGGGGCAUCCUGAAGAUGCAAAACACUGUAAUAACAAAAAUGAAUCAAAUGUAGAUAGAACAAAUUUCAAAAAAAGUAAUAAAAACACCUUUUCUCCCAUUUUUCUCGUCAUCUGGAUAUUUUGAAGAAAUUGGUUACACAAAUGAGCAUAACAAAAUUGAACAGAAUGACUUCUACUAGUGUAGGCCUAAACAUGUGUUUAAAGCCUUACUGAUGAAUCAUGUGUAGGUCACAUGAGAAUGGAACAUAAAACCUGUUUCUGACACCAUGACAACGAACAACAGUCACUGGAAACUAUGAGUGCUGUCUUCACUAACGAUCUCUUUUAAACUACAGGAACUGAUGGCUUCGAGACACCAGAAGCCUCAGUAUCUCAGUGGACUCCGACCCUACGGCAGUAACCAGAUGGUUGUUAGUUCAACCAGACGGUUGUUAGUUCAACCAGACGGUUGUUAGUUCAACCCUAUGGCAGUAACCAGAUGGUUGUUAGUUCAACCCUACGGCAGUAACCAGAUGGUUGUUAGUCCAACCCUACGGCAGUAACCAGACGGUUGUUAGUUCAACCCUACGGCAGUGACCAGACGGUUGUUAGUCCAACCCUACGGCAGUAACCAGACGGUUGUUAGUCCAACCCUACGGCAGUAACCAGACGGUUGUUAGUUCAACCCUACGGCAGUGACCAGACGGUUGUUAGUCCAACCCUACGGCAGUAACCAGACGGUUGUUAGUCCAACCCUACGGCAGUAACCAGACGGUUGUUAGUUCAACCCUACGGCAGUAACCAGACGGUUGUUAGUUCAACCCUACGGCAGUAACCAGAUGGUUGUUAGUUCAAUCCUACGGCAGUAACCAGAUGGUUGUUAGUUCAACCCUACGGCAGUAACCAGAUGGUUGUUAGUUCAACCCUACGGCAGUAACCAGAUGGUUGUUAGUUCAACGUUCUGGCAGUAACCAGAUGGUUGUUAGUUCAAUCCUACGGCAGUAACCAGAUGGCUGUUAGUUCAAUCCUACGGCAGUAACCAGAUGGUUGUUAGUCCAACCCUACGGCAGUAACCAGAUGGGUGUUAGUCCAACCCUACGGCAGUAACCAGAUGGUUGUUAGUUCAAAUCCCACCAGUACGUUUGUUUUCCAUUUGAACUCUAACAGACCGGUGUGAGAGGUUGAUAUAUCCAGUUUGAACAGGUCACAGAGCGAAGGGUUCGGGUUCCUGGUGUUACCAGGGGGUGUGUAGAUCACCAAUCUCCUAGACCUGGUUGUACAGGACUGGCUGUGGGUUUGAAACCCCCAGUUUCUGGGGCCUGGAGCAUAUCCGAGUAGUUCUUUCUUCAGGUCUAGGCUUUAUGACGUGGUAACUGAGUAGUUCAUUCAUCCUUCAGGUCUAGGCUUUAGGACGUGGUAACUGAGUAGUUCAUUCAUUCUUCAGGUCUAGGCUUUAGGAUGUGGUAACUGAGUAGUUCAUUCAUCCUUCAGAUCUAGGCUUUAGGACGUGGUAACUGAGUAGUUCAUUCAUUCUUCAGGUCUAGGCUUUAGGACGUGGUAACUGAGUAGUUCAUUCAUUCUUCAGGUCUAGGCUCAAAUGCACCUUGCAGAGGCAUGUCGGUGCCAGCGUGGAUUAUAUUUUGUUGACUGUCCGGUGCUCUUCAACUUGCCUAGAUUGAAUCCCAGCCUAAGUGGACACUUUACUAAAUGUCAUGCUGCCGAGUAUAAAAUUGUGUUUUUGUAUAUACAGUACCAGUCAAAGGUUUGGACACACCUCAUUCCAGGUUGCAAGUUCAAAUCCCCGAGCUGACAAGGUACAAAUCUGUCGUUCUUGUCCCUGAACAAGGCAGUUAACCCACUGUUCCCUAGUAGGCCGUCAUUGAAAAUAAGAAUUUGUUCUUAACUGACUUGCCUGGUUAAAUAAAACGUUUAAAAUAUAUAUUAACAUAUCCAAGGGUUUUUCUUUAUUUUUACAAUUUUCUACAUUGUAGAAUAAUAGUGAAGACUGAAAUAACCAAAAAAAGUGUUAAACAAAUCAACAUUUAUUUUAUAUUGGAGAUUCUACAAAGAAGCCACCCUUUGCCUUGAUGACAGCUUUGCACACUCUUGGCAUUCUCUCAACCAGCUUCAUAAGGUAGUCACCUGGAAUGCAUUUGUGGAAUUUCUUUCCUUCUUACAGCCAAUCAGUUGUGUUGUGACAAGGUAGGGAUGUUAUACAGAAGAGAGCCCUAUUUGGUAAAAGACCAAGUACAUAUUAUGGCAAGAACAGCAACAGUCCAUCAUUGCUUUAAGACAUGAAGGUCUGUCAAUACGGAACAUUUCAAGAACUUUGAAAGUUUCUUCAAGUGCCGUCUUAAAAACCAUCAAGCGCUGUGCUGAAACUGGCUCUCAUGAGGACCACCACAGGAAAGGAAGACCCAGAGUUACUUCUGCUGCUAAGUUAGACUUAGCAGCCUCAGAAAUUGCAGCCCAAAUAAAUGCUUCACAGAGUUCAAGUAAUAGACAUCUCAACUGCGUGAAUCAGGCCUUCAUGGUCAUAUUGCUGCAAAGAAACCACUGCUAAAGGACACCAAUAAUAAGAAGAGACUUGCUUGGGCCAAGAAACACGAGCAAUGGACAUUAGACCGGUGGAAAUCUGUCCUUUUGAUAUGAUGAGUCCAAAUUUUAGAUUUUUGUUUCCAACCGCUGUCUUUGUGAGAUGCAGACUAGGUGAACGGAUGAUCUCUGCAUGUGUGGUUCCCACCGUGAAGCAUGGAGGAGGAGGUGGUGUGAUGGUGCUUUGCUGGUGACACUGUGGUUUAUUUAGAAUUCAAGGCACACUUACCCAGCAUGGCUACCCCAGCAUUCUACAGCGAUACGCCAUCCCAUCAGGUUUGCGCUUAGUGGGACUAUCAUUUGUUUUUCAACAGGACAAUGACCCAACACACCUCCAGGCUGUAUAAGGGCUAUUUGACCAAGAAGGAGAGUGAUUGAGUGCUGCAUCAGAUGACCUGGCCUCCACAAUCAGCUGAUCUCAACAUAAAUGAGAUGGUUUGGGAUGCGUUGGACCGCAGAGGGAAGGAAAAGCAGCCAACAAGUUCUCAGCAUAUGUGGGAACUCCUUCACGACUGUUGGCAAAGCAUUCCAGGUGAAGCUGGUUGAGAGAAUGCCAAGAGUUUGCAAAGCUGUCAUCAAGGCAGAGGGUGGCUAAAUAUAAAACAAGUUAUUAAAUAAUCUCUUGGCAAACAAAGCAGUUACUAUUUACAAGAAAACACUCAAAUCAUUUCAGGUGUGUGUGUGUGAGUGAGUGAGUAAGUGAGAGACCGAGAGAGAGACAGAGAGAGAGAGACUGCAGGGUGCCUCUCCUUUCUGUCCUGUCUCCCCUGGGCAUGUUCUCCUCCAGCUCCAUCAGCCUGUCCUCUCUCCCCUGGGCAUGUUCUCCUCCAGCUCCAUCAGCCUGUCCUCUCUCCCCUGGGCAUGUUCUGCUGCUACUCUCUGAGCUGUCUCUGAGGCUGUGAUGUCUAUGUGGGCGUAUGUGGUGGAGCCCCCUACUGGACAGGAAGACCAACAACAAUAACCAGUGACUACAAAAUCAUGGUCCUCUACUAGAACAUAAAAACCAGUCUCCUGAUCAUCCUGCCUUCUCCUGAAGUGUUUGUCUUGCACACUUUGCUUAUAACAAACCUUAAUCCAUGAAGGGUAGUGUGCGAGUGUACACUUUGGGAGAAGGGUGGUGUAAUCGGGACACACAAUAGAAAUACACACAGCCAAUAGCUUUGAGCAGGUUCUAUGUUUCCUAGUAGGAGAUUAUCACAGUACAAGAAGCCAUAUAGCACCAAGGAGGAAGAGACUGUAGGCCACAGUGUGCUGUAUGUUCCCAACAUGAGGUAUUAUAAUCAACUUUAGGUUAUAAACAUGUCCUGUUCAACCAUUAUAAUGUGUUCCCAACAGUAGGUAUUAUAAACAUGUCCUGUUCCCAACAUUAGGUAUUAUAAUCAACUUUAGGUUAUAAACAUGUCCUGUUCCCAACAUUAGGUAUUAUAAUCAACUUUAGGUUAUAAACAUGUCCUGUUCCCAACAUUAGGUAUUAUAAUCAACUUUAGGUUAUAAACAUGUCCUAUUAAACCAUUAUAAUGAUGUGUUCCCAACUUUAGGUUAUAAACAUGUCCUGUUCCCAACAUUAGAUAUUAUAAUCAACUUUAGGUUAUAAACAUGUCCUGUUCCCAACAUUAGGUAUUAUAAACAUGUCCUGUUCCCAACAUUAGGUAUUAUAAUCAACUUUAGGUUAUAAACAUGUCCUGUUCCCAACAUUAGGUAUUAUAAUCAACUUUAGGUUAUAAACAUGUCCUGUUCCCAACAUUAGGUAUUAUAAUCAACUUUAGGUUAUAAACAUGUCCUGUUCCCAACAUUAUAAUGAUGUGUUCCCAACAUUAGGUAUUAUAAUCAACUUUAGGUUAUAAACAUGUCCUGUUCCCAACAUUAGGUAUU
Long non-coding RNA from Oncorhynchus tshawytscha (Chinook salmon), 4647 nucleotides. NCBI's taxonomy places the organism in Eukaryota, Metazoa, Chordata, Actinopteri, Salmoniformes, Salmonidae. The record is from Ensembl.